AUGGCGCGCUGCUGGUGGAGCAGUUCUCUUGAUCGUCGAUCUUUGCAUUGGGUUGAUUGGGAUACCCUUGCAACACCAAAAGAGAAGGGAGGGAUGGGAUUCAGAAAUAUGCAACUCUUCAACUUGGCCCUUAUCGGAAAACACGGAUGGAGACUCGUCACGAGCCCAGACUCACUCUGUGCACGGGUGCUCAAAGGGAAAUACUUCCCGACCACCAGCUUCAUGGAGGCCACCGCGCAUCCGCAUGCUUCAUCUACGUGGCGCGCGAUUUUGGCCGGG
This 279-nucleotide ribosomal RNA is filed under the name Triticum aestivum (bread wheat). Its description in RNAcentral is "partial small subunit ribosomal RNA". Lineage: Eukaryota; Viridiplantae; Streptophyta; Magnoliopsida; Poales; Poaceae. The record is from RNAcentral.